UCUUCCAUGGCGUCGUCGGGGCCUUCCCCUGCCAAGCGUAGCGGCUCCUUGGCUGGAUCACCGUCGCACACCUCACCGGCGUGGUCGGCAAGAUCUGCAUCUCGAUCCUCGCCACUCUCCAUCCUCUUGCAGGUUUAUAAAUUUCGAAAUAUAGUUGCAGCUUCACGGAAUGGACGGCCCAAGUUAUGUUAGUGUCUAUAUGUUUACUUGGUGGUGGUCUAGCGUGAGUGACACCUGCAUCUGUAACUUACCCAUUGGAUGUUCUUCGAAAUCACCUGACAACACAGAAAACCACUAGGUAUUACAAGGGCAUCUUUCACACGUUGUCUACAAUUUGUAGAGAAGAGAAUAGUAGAGGAUUGUAUAAAGGCCUUUGGUCCACCUUAUUG
Molecule: long non-coding RNA, 389 nt
Organism: Triticum aestivum (bread wheat)
Lineage: Eukaryota; Viridiplantae; Streptophyta; Magnoliopsida; Poales; Poaceae
Exons: 3
Source: RefSeq, a predicted model, not a curated record